GUUUCUUACUCCUGGCUUCACAAUGAAACGGCCUUUGGGGUUUAUAUAGCCAGCCAAAAGAGAUUCUUCCACCGCAGUGUCCUCAAGUUGUCUGUAGCUUUGGACGAGAAUUCUUUCAUGUCAGCUUUCGAAAUUUACUUCUGAGGAGAACAUAUCUUUCUUUUCCAAAAGCAAAGUGAUGGCAACAGAUUCUGUCAUUCUUGUGGAGCACAAUUCCCUAUAAAAAGUAAGGAUUCUAGGUCACAGGGGUCACCGUUACACAGCCGACCAUACUCCAAACUGCUGUGCAUCACCAAACAAAGAAGUUCUUCCAUGGUUAUAAAAUGGUACAGCAUAUUGAUGCCUCUCAUGAACUAAUAGGAAUCCCUAGAAGCAUUAGCUUUUACACAAACUCAGGCUCCAAUAUGGCAGUUUUUGUUACUUACUUUGUCACUGUGACCAGCUAGAAUUGUAUAAUGUUUAUUUCAACAAGAUUGCAUAA
Molecule: long non-coding RNA, 481 nt
Organism: Lolium perenne
Lineage: Eukaryota; Viridiplantae; Streptophyta; Magnoliopsida; Poales; Poaceae
Source: RefSeq, a predicted model, not a curated record